UACGUAGGGUGCAAGCGUUGUCCGGAAUUAUUGGGCGUAAAGAGCUCGUAGGCGGUCUGUUGCGUCGGCUGUGAAAACCCGAGGCUCAACCUCGGGCCUGCAGCCGAUACGGGCAGACUAGAGUUCGGCAGGGGAGACUGGAAUUCCUGGUGUAGCGGUGGAAUGCGCAGAUAUCAGGAGGAACACCGGUGGCGAAGGCGGGUCUCUGGGCAGUAACUGACGCUGAGGAGCGAAAGCGUGGGGAGCGAACAGG
RNAcentral lists this ribosomal RNA (253 nucleotides) under uncultured bacterium. RNAcentral's name for it is "partial 16S ribosomal RNA". It matches the Rfam family "Bacterial small subunit ribosomal RNA", at positions 524 to 776 of the family's 1533-position model. The record is from RNAcentral.